GACGAACGCUGGCGGCGUGCUUAACACAUGCAAGUCGAACGGAAAGGCCCUGCUUUUGUGGGGUGCUCGAGUGGCGAACGGGUGAGUAACACGUGAGUAACCUGCCCUUGACUUUGGGAUAACUUCAGGAAACUGGGGCUAAUACCGGAUAGGAGCUCCUGCUGCAUGGUGUGGGUUGGAAAGUUUCGGCGGUUGGGGAUCGACUCGCGGCUUAUCAGCUUGUUGGUGGGGUAGUGGCUUACCAAGGCUUUGACGGGUAGCCGGCCUGAGAGGGUGACCGGCCACAUUGGGACUGAGAUACGGCCCAGACUCCUACGGGAGGCAGCAGUGGGGAAUAUUGCACAAUGGGCGGAAGCCUGAUGCAGCGACGCCGCGUGCGGGAUGACGGCCUUCGGGUUGUAAACCGCUUUCGCCUGUGACGAAGCGUGAGUGACGGUAAUGGGUAAAGAAGCACCGGCUAACUACGUG
Molecule: ribosomal RNA, 468 nt
Filed under: uncultured bacterium
Lineage: Bacteria
Description: partial 16S ribosomal RNA
Rfam family: Bacterial small subunit ribosomal RNA
Source: RNAcentral